This is a non-coding RNA of Anopheles dirus, 47 nucleotides long. NCBI's taxonomy places the organism in Eukaryota, Metazoa, Arthropoda, Insecta, Diptera, Culicidae. The record is from Rfam.
AAAACGGCCCUUUUCAGGGCCACCAAAUGCUUUUUCAAAAGAGUAAU